AACGUAGGAGACAAACGUUAUCCGGAGUUACUGGGCGUAAAGGGCGUGCAGGUGGUCUGUUAAGUUCGGCGUGAAAGCGCCCGGCUAAACCGGGCGAGGUCGUCGGAGACUGGCGGACUAGAGGACGGUAGAGGCGGGUGGAAUUCCGGGUGUAGUGGUGAAAUGCGUAGAGAUCGGGAAGAAUACCAGUGGCGAAGGCGUUCUGCUGGGCCGUUGCUGACGCUGAGGCGCGACAGCGUGGGGAGCACACAGG
This 253-nucleotide ribosomal RNA is filed under the name uncultured prokaryote. RNAcentral describes it as "partial 16S ribosomal RNA". It matches the Rfam family "Bacterial small subunit ribosomal RNA", at positions 524 to 776 of the family's 1533-position model. The record is from RNAcentral.